UCAGAGCCCUGGAAACUGAUGUCCUCUCUAUCCACAGAGCAGGUAAAGCAGAAGCAGCAGCAGUGCCAGCUUCCCAACACUGCCCUCUUAUCAUGCCUCAAACUUGAUUUGAAGGGACCAUCUGUAAAGGCUAGAGGGGUGUUCCCUCUGAGCUGUAGACUGACUGCC
This 168-nucleotide small RNA is filed under the name Gopherus agassizii (Agassiz's desert tortoise). RNAcentral's name for it is "TUC338 (ENSGAGG00000024444.1)". Lineage: Eukaryota; Metazoa; Chordata; Testudines; Testudinidae. The record is from RNAcentral.